GAUGAACGCUGGCGGCGUGCCUAAUACAUGCAAGUCGAGCGAACAGACGAGGAGCUUGCUCCUCUGCCGUUAGCGGCGGACGGGUGAGUAACACGUGGAUAACCUACCUAUAAGACUGGGAUAACUUCGGGAAACCGGAGCUAAUACCGGAUAAUAUAUUGAACCGCAUGGUUCAAUAGUGAAAGACGGUUUUGCUGUCACUUAUAGAUGGAUCCGCGCCGCAUUAGCUAGUUGGUAAGGUAACGGCUUACCAAGGCGACGAUGCGUAGCCGACCUGAGAGGGUGAUCGGCCACACUGGAACUGAGACACGGUCCAGACUCCUACGGGAGGCAGCAGUAGGGAAUCUUCCGCAAUGGGCGAAAGCCUGACGGAGCAACGCCGCGUGAGUGAUGAAGGUCUUCGGAUCGUAAAACUCUGUUAGUAGGGAAGAACAAAUGUGUAAGUAACUAUGCACGUCUUGACGGUACCUAAUCAGAAAGCCACGGCUAACUACGUG
RNAcentral lists this ribosomal RNA (497 nucleotides) under uncultured bacterium. RNAcentral describes it as "partial 16S ribosomal RNA". It matches the Rfam family "Bacterial small subunit ribosomal RNA", at positions 28 to 507 of the family's 1533-position model. The record is from RNAcentral.